UGAGGGAUAUUGGUCAAUGGGGGAAACCCUGAACCAGCGACGCCGCGUGGGUGAAGAAGGCCUUCGGGUCGUAAAGCCCUUUUCCCGCUGACGAGGAAGGACGGUAGGCGGGGAAGAAGUCUCGGCUAACUACGUGCCAGCAGCCGCGGUAAAACGUAGGAGGCAAGCGUUAUCCGGAGUUACUGGGCGUAAAGCGCGCGCAGGCGGCGAAGCAAGUGAGGUGUGAAAUAUCCCGGCUAAACCGGGAGG
RNAcentral lists this ribosomal RNA (249 nucleotides) under uncultured Anaerolineae bacterium. Its description in RNAcentral is "partial 16S ribosomal RNA". It matches the Rfam family "Bacterial small subunit ribosomal RNA", at positions 355 to 620 of the family's 1533-position model. Lineage: Bacteria; Bacillati; Chloroflexota; Anaerolineae. The record is from RNAcentral.